GUCUCUGUCGAUUAGUGGUUAAAUCGCCACGUUGUGGCCGUGGCGCCGUGUGUUCGAUUCACACCAGAGACA
This is a transfer RNA of Fomitiporia mediterranea MF3/22, 72 nucleotides long. It matches the Rfam family "tRNA". From Rfam's summary of the family: Transfer RNA (tRNA) molecules are approximately 80 nucleotides in length. NCBI's taxonomy places the organism in Eukaryota, Fungi, Basidiomycota, Agaricomycetes, Hymenochaetales, Hymenochaetaceae. The record is from Rfam.